RNAcentral lists this ribosomal RNA (522 nucleotides) under uncultured Glomus. Its description in RNAcentral is "SSU rRNA". It matches the Rfam family "Eukaryotic small subunit ribosomal RNA", at positions 569 to 1092 of the family's 1831-position model. Lineage: Eukaryota; Fungi; Glomeromycota; Glomeromycetes; Glomerales; Glomeraceae. The record is from RNAcentral.
AGCAGCCGCGGUAAUUCCAGCUCCAAUAGCGUAUAUUAAAGUUGUUGCAGUUAAAAAGCUCGUAGUUGAAUUUCGGGGUUAGUAGGUCGGUCAUGCCUCAGGUAUGCACUGGUCUCACUGAUUCCUCCUUCCUGAUGAGCCGUAAUGCCAUUAAUUUGGUGUUGCGGGGAAUCUGGACUGUUACUUUGAAAAAAUUAGAGUGUUUAAAGCAGGCUAACGCUUGAAUACAUUAGCAUGGAAUAAUGGAAUAGGACGUUCGAUCCUAUUUUGUUGGUUUCUAGGAUUGACGUAAUGAUUAAUAGGGAUAGUUGGGGGCAUUAGUAUUCAAUUGUCAGAGGUGAAAUUCUUGGAUUUAUUGAAGACUAACUACUGCGAAAGCAUUUGCCAAGGAUGUUUUCAUUAAUCAAGAACGAAAGUUAGGGGAUCGAAGACGAUCAGAUACCGUCGUAGUCUUAACCAUAAACUAUGCCGACUAGGGAUCGGAUGAUGUUAAUUUUUUAAUGACUCAUUCGGCGCCUUACG